GAAUUGCAGAAUUCAGUGAAUCAUCGAAUCUUUGAACGCACAUUGCGCCCAUUAGUAUUCUAGUGGGCAUGCCUGUUCGAGCGUC
RNAcentral lists this ribosomal RNA (85 nucleotides) under uncultured fungus. RNAcentral describes it as "partial 5.8S ribosomal RNA". It matches the Rfam family "5.8S ribosomal RNA", at positions 69 to 153 of the family's 154-position model. Rfam says of the family: 5.8S ribosomal RNA (5.8S rRNA) is a component of the large subunit of the eukaryotic ribosome. It is transcribed by RNA polymerase I as part of the 45S precursor that also contains 18S and 28S rRNA. Lineage: Eukaryota; Fungi. The record is from RNAcentral.